This 772-nucleotide ribosomal RNA is filed under the name Bacillus subtilis. RNAcentral describes it as "bacterial SSU rRNA". It matches the Rfam family "Bacterial small subunit ribosomal RNA", at positions 50 to 804 of the family's 1533-position model. Lineage: Bacteria; Bacillati; Bacillota; Bacilli; Caryophanales; Bacillaceae. The record is from RNAcentral.
UAUACAUGCAAGUCGAGCGGACAGAUGGGAGCUUGCUCCCUGAUGUUAGCGGCGGACGGGUGAGUAACACGUGGGUAACCUGCCUGUAAGACUGGGAUAACUCCGGGAAACCGGGGCUAAUACCGGAUGGUUGUUUGAACCGCAUGGUUCAGACAUAAAAGGUGGCUUCGGCUACCACUUACAGAUGGACCCGCGGCGCAUUAGCUAGUUGGUGAGGUAACGGCUCACCAAGGCGACGAUGCGUAGCCGACCUGAGAGGGUGAUCGGCCACACUGGGACUGAGACACGGCCCAGACUCCUACGGGAGGCAGCAGUAGGGAAUCUUCCGCAAUGGACGAAAGUCUGACGGAGCAACGCCGCGUGAGUGAUGAAGGUUUUCGGAUCGUAAAGCUCUGUUGUUAGGGAAGAACAAGUGCCGUUCAAAUAGGGCGGCACCUUGACGGUACCUAACCAGAAAGCCACGGCUAACUACGUGCCAGCAGCCGCGGUAAUACGUAGGUGGCAAGCGUUGUCCGGAAUUAUUGGGCGUAAAGGGCUCGCAGGCGGUUUCUUAAGUCUGAUGUGAAAGCCCCCGGCUCAACCGGGGAGGGUCAUUGGAAACUGGGGAACUUGAGUGCAGAAGAGGAGAGUGGAAUUCCACGUGUAGCGGUGAAAUGCGUAGAGAUGUGGAGGAACACCAGUGGCGAAGGCGACUCUCUGGUCUGUAACUGACGCUGAGGAGCGAAAGCGUGGGGAGCGAACAGGAUUAGAUACCCUGGUAGUCCACGCCGUA